AUUGAACGCUGGCGGAAUGCUUUACACAUGCAAGUCGAACGGCAGCACGGACUUCGGUCUGGUGGCGAGUGGCGAACGGGUGAGUAAUGUAUCGGAACGUGCCCAGUCGUGGGGGAUAACGUAGUGAAAAUUACGCUAAUACCGCAUACGAUCUAUGGAUGAAAGCGGGGGAUCGCAAGACCUCGCGCGAUUGGAGCGGCCGAUAUCAGAUUAGGUGGUUGGUGGGGUAAAGGCCCACCAAGCCAACGAUCUGGAGCUGGUCUGAGAGAACGACCAGCCACACUGGAACUGAGACACGGUCCAGACUCCUACGGGAGGCAGCAGUGGGGAAUUUUGGACAAUGGGCGAAAGCCUGAUCCAGCCAUUCCGCGUGCAGGAUGAAGGCCCUCGGGUUGUAAACUGCUUUUGUACAGAACGAAAAGGUUUCUACUAAUACUAGGAGCUCAUGACGGUACUGUAAGAAUAAGCACCGGCUAACUACGUGCCAGCCGCCGCGGUAA
This 500-nucleotide ribosomal RNA is filed under the name uncultured bacterium. RNAcentral describes it as "partial 16S ribosomal RNA". It matches the Rfam family "Bacterial small subunit ribosomal RNA", at positions 30 to 523 of the family's 1533-position model. The record is from RNAcentral.